RNAcentral lists this long non-coding RNA (9320 nucleotides) under Homo sapiens (human). RNAcentral's name for it is "non-protein coding lnc-CIT-11:2". The record is from RNAcentral. Lineage: Eukaryota; Metazoa; Chordata; Mammalia; Primates; Hominidae.
AGGCCCUGCUGGUUGAGCUGGGAGACUCAGUCCCAAGGCUUUGAACAGACACGUAAUUUCAAUGAUGUUGGGGUUGGGGGGACCAUAAGCUCGCACAAUCCUAAAUCCCAGCCCCAAGGAGGCCUAGGGAGAGCCUGAGGCUCGAAUGAGUAAGAAUGGGAGUGGGAACGAGGAUGAAGGUGGGUCCCCCUUGCCCCCUGGCCUCACCUGGUUAUCCUCCGGGCCUCCAGGUGGCUCGGGGAGUCUCUCCGGCGCUUUCUCAUAGGCGAGUAGGACCGACGUCUCCGACGCGCUCGCUCGCGCUCCCGCUGCUGCGAGUCCUUCUCACUGUAUUUGGGAUCCCGCUCCCUGAAGGGGCGCGGGGGGUUACUGGGGAGCUGGGGCUGGGCUGGAUUUUCUGCGUGAGCGCGUGGGAGAGGGACACUCCCUUUCUUUCCCACCCCACUGGGUCACGGGAUGGGGUCUGCACGUUGCCGCAAGGGAGACCGGAGGGAGGAUGACGGGGCUGCGGUAAGAGUCUGCGAGGGUUGUUAGUACCGUAGGGGUGGGGGCUGGGCUUGUGCAGGGGUGUCAGCAUUUGCAGGUGGGCAUCAUAGCAGGGCAGGUGCUGCAGGGGUGAGGACGUGAAUGUUACGCAGGCCCUGGUGCGUGGGUAAGAACUGGGGGCUCUGAAUAUGGGGACGGUCUGUAGAGGCUGAGGGCUGGGGAUGUGAAUUCUGGGGUAUGUCUGCGGGACUGUUUGGGCUGGAGACAUUAGGAAACAAGGGUAUUUGAUGCCUCGCUGCCACUCCUGAUUGGACAAAGGGAACUGUAAGAAUGCUGAGUCAGGGUCAGACCUAAGAGGAAGAAGGCCCGAGAACGGGGAGGCGGGGCCAGAGAGGAGGAUCAGAGCAAAGGGGUGGGGCCUAGGACGGGCCUAGUUUGAGGGGCGGGGCCGGUACCUGCUGGGGCUGUAGCGGGAGUAGCUAGGGCUGCGGCGGGACCUAGAGCUUCUGCUGGGCGGGCUCCUCUUGCCAGACUUGGAGGAAUAGCUGGGAGAGCGGGAGUAGGACCUGGGGGAGAGGUAACAGCCUCUGAGGAGCCUGCUGAGUGUCCGCCUGGGUUAUCCAAGACGGCUUGAGCUUUAUUCAGCGGGUCCCUGGGCAGUGACCUUUUUCUUUCUGGAAGCCAGGCAGAGGAACUGGGCCCCGAUCAAAGAAUGAAAGCCCCUCCCCACCGGUGGUUAAUAAUAAUACCAACAACUUCUAUUUUGUGCCUACUAUCCUGGCCACUUACUAGCUGUGUGACCUUGGCAGAUGAUUUCGUUUCCCUGGGCCGUUUUCUUGUCUAUAAAAUGCAGGUAAUAAUAGUCCUUACCCUAGACAAUUGUAAAUUGAAUGAGUGAAUUCGGGUAAAUCACAUAGCAUAUUGGCACCUAUGCUAAGUAUCAAUUAGACAGGACAUAGGAAAUGUUAGCUAUGACUAUGACAUAUUUUAUUAUGUGCCAGACAUUGAACCAGUGCUUUGUGUGUAUUAUUUAAUCCUCAACACAUCUUAGGGUUAGGUACUAUUAUCAAUUUCAUUUUAUAGAUGGGGAAACAGAGGCACAGAGAGAUGAUGCACUUCGCUAAACACAGCUGGUAAGAGAUGUGAACCCAGGACUGUUUGCCUCUAAGCCAAAUUUAAUUCACGUCUGUUUGGUUUCAAAGUGCUCUUGAUUUUUGUAGACUAUAUUGUUGUGCAUCUACAUGACUAAUCCUUAUGCUCCUCCUAGUCUUCUUUGCUUUCUGUUAAUGCCUCCCACUUUUAGAAAACAGGGGCAGGAAUAGCUCUUCCCUUCUCAGUGCCCUCAGCAGUGUCCAGCUAUGGUCACUGGAAAAAUGUGCUUUUGCCAACUUAUGCUUUGGCUAUGCAUUGAGAGAUAUAAGAAAGAGUCAAGAUGAAACCUGUUUUUGGAUACUUUGAAAGGAUAUUAUCAGAAUUUCCAUUCACUGCACCAUAUAGAGUCCCUUUUCUGUGGAGCCAUCUGAGUCAUUUUUCAUAGAAUUAAAAACCUGAAAUAGCUGCUCUUCUGAGCAACUGGUUCAAUUCUUAUCUUUUUUUUGUUAAUAAUGUAGUAAAUGAGGGAGUAAUUUUCCUCUUUGCUUUGUCUGUCAGGGAGCUCAGACGUCAUAUUUGCAGCUUACCUCCAUAGCAACUUUACAGAAUGGUAGGACGUACUUUUGGGACUGUCUCCUGACUUAAUUUUAUAUUUCUUUCCUUAAUUUUUCUUUUAGCCUGAUUUGCUCUUCUAUUUAUGUCACUCUAUCAUGUUGAAUAUUUUCAUCAGUUGCCUUGUCUCAUUUUUUGGAAUGGACCAGUCUUGAGAUGACCAGCUAAAUAAGCAACUGUUUUUUGAUUGUAUAGUUGCAAAAGAGGAACAAUCAAGCUCCUAUUGGGAAUUUCUUUUUGCAGAGGAAAGCUGGACUCCCUGAAUUUAUGGGUUGAUUCGUUUGGAUAGAAUCUUCCGAUUUCUGAGAUUUCAUGUCUCAUUCUGCUACAUUAUUAUUCUACAUGAGGCAAUCAAGCGAUUACCAAUAGCUAUUGAAACUGGGUAGCAGAAUGCAAAAAUGGCCAUAAUUUUUCUUCUCCCAGUGUCCACAUCCCCUGCAAUGUGACUUUGCAGCUCCUUUCACUGAGAGGAAUACCCUUGAAUCUGUACUGGUCUUGUGACUUGCUAUGGCUAAUAGAAUAGCAGAAGGGAUGCUAAUUACUUCCAAGCCUAGAAGCCUUGCACAAUACUGUGCUCUCUCUUGGAAUUCUGCCAUCACCAUGUGAACAAACCAAGACAGGCCUGCUGGAGGAGGAGAGACCUCAUGGAGUAGAGUGAUGAGUCAGCUGGGGUCUUUCAAACUCUCCAGCCCCCAGCCAACCCACCAGUCAAUCAAAGGCGUAUGAGUGAGCCCAAUGAGAUCAGAAGAACCACCCAGCUGAGCCCAGCCCAAUUGCUGAUCCACAGGAUCAGGAACUAAGUAGCACUUGUUUUAAAGAUGCUAAGUUUGGGGAUAAUUUUCUAUGCAGAAGUUAAUUGAUACACAUUAGCUCAUUCUCAUGCCAAUAGCAGCAAUAAUAACUGAUAUUCAUUAUGUUCUGUGUACUGUUCUAAGUGCCUUAUAGCCCUCAGAACAAUCUUUUCUGGUAAGAAUUGCUAUUUCUUCAUAUUGCAGAUGGGAAAACUCAGGUUCAGAGAAAUUAACUGACUUUCCCAAGGCCACCAGCUCGAAAUGGGCAAAACGAGUAUUCAAACCUAAGUCCGUCUGACUUCUCUCCCCCAUGGGUCAAAGGACAUCUGCAAUUAACUAAUUUCCUAAGGAGAAAGGUGCUGCAGAGCAAAGGUCAAAACCACACUCACCUUUUUUCAGAAGAGGUGGAUCGGCUUUGGGUGUACCUGGGGGAAGCCCUGGGAUUUGGGGAUCGGGACGAGUGACUGGAGGAUCGGGUGCUGGCAUAGGAGGAGCUGCGGGAACACCCUUUCAUGGGUGAGCUCCGGGCUGUGGAUGGGACCAAACUGGACUUCUUCACUUCGGCACAUUCCAGACACGGUGACUGAAAUCCCCUGCAGGUGGGAAAAUGUCCAUGAGCACCGACUGCCCACUACUCUGGGAGCAUCUUGUUUGAAUACCUCCCUACCUUGGCCUAGGCUGUGGUGCUCUCAUAGAACCCUCUUUGCCCCUUUUCCCAUCCUAUUCUCUCUGGAAAGACUUCCCAGGCCACAUAUGUUAGAGGAGUAGAGACAGAAGAUACCUUAAAAGUAGACAAUUCAGGUUAGCAUUUCCUCAAGUGUGAAACACAUACCGCUGGGGCCACAGUGGAGUAUUUUAGAAUGUCAUCAGGCAUGGGCAUGAUGGUAAGUAACAUCAGAUUACAUGGUGAGAAAUUUAUUCCCUGUCUAGUCUUUUUCUGUCCUUCUGAUUACAUUAAUGAGGAAGCCCCCAUUGGGUGCUAGUUGGUUUGUAACACCUCUCUAACACUUUGUAAUCUCUCUAAGAGAGAGGAGCACACCUCAGACUCAGCCUUGGUUAGGCAACUGCAACUAGUAGGAUUAAAUCCAUUGUUUUAAUCAUAUGUGUUUUUAUAGGUACCUUUUAUUUAGGACAUGUGAUUCUUUUUUUGAGACAGAGUCUCACUCUGUUACCCAGGCUGUAGUGCAGUGGCUGACUGCAACCUCUGCCUUCAGGGGUCAAGCAAUUCUCCUGCCUCAGCCUCCCGAGUAGCUGAGAUUACAGGUGCAUGCCACCACACCCAGCCAAUUUUUGUAUUUUUAGUAGAGAUGGGGUUUCACUAUGUUGGCCAGACUGGUCUCAAACUCCUGACCUCAAAUGAUCCACCCGCCUUGGCCUCCCAAAGUGCUGGGAUUACAGAUGUGAGCCCCUGUGCCCGGCCAAGGACAUUUGAUUCUAAUUUUCUAUUUCAGAUAGUACUGUAAUUUUCCUUUUACUUAUAUAUUAAAAAUGAGUUUAUUAAAGUAAACAGGAAUAUCAGUAGUACAUGGAUAUGGUAAAAAUCAAGAUGACCUGUUGUUGGUUUAGUUUUGGGAAAUUUUGAUGUAACCCAUUUUGCAGUUGGAGGAAUUGAGACCUCCCAAAAGACAGAGGCUUCAGGAUUAUCAGAAGGCUAGAGUGCUGUCUUCUGUACUCCCACCCUGCCUAGGGCCAGGCUGACCUCUGUUAGGUGCUCAGUGAAGGCAUAUUUAUUUGGAUUGGGCCAAGAAUCAAGUUCAAAUCACAUUAAUAUGGUUUUCAAGGCUCACGAUGGCCUGGCACCUGCUCACCCCUCCAAUCUCAGGUCUUGACUCUUUCCUCUCCUGACUCCAGCUGUCAUAGACUACUUAUUCCUCCUGAAAUAUCCCUAUUCUCUUCCUUGUCUCCAGGCCUCAGAACAUUCUGGCUGUCUGCAAACCCUCUCCAUUCCCUCUUCAUCUGGCAACUCCUACUUAUGAUUCUGGCUUUAGCUUGACCUCACCCUUUCUGGAAAACCUUCCUUGACACCCCCGUCCCCUGUCUGGGUUGGGCGACCUCCAGUGUGUUACCACAGACCUUAGUUCUAUGUUUUGCCUAUCCCUAUAUGGCUUACUUAGUCUUAUACUUGUAGGCUGUCUCUUCUGUCCCAGAUAUUGAGCUCCCUGGAGACAGCUCCCUGGGGACCUUUUCAAUGUUCUGAGAAUUUCACAAGCAUCAUUUCAUUCCCAACAACCUUCUGAAGCCGACAUCAUUAUUUAUUUAUUUUUUGAGACAGUCUCGCUCUGUCGCCAGGCUGGAGUGCAGUGACGUGAUCUUGGCUGACUGCAACCUCCGCCUCCCAGGUUCAAGCGAUUCUCCUGCCUCAGCCUCCCGAGUGGCUGGGACUGCAGGUGCGCACCACCACACUCAGCUAGUUUUUGCAUUUUUAGUAGAAAUGGGGUUUCACCAUGUUGGCCAGGAUGGCUUUGAUCUCUUGACCUCGUGAUCCACCUGCCUUGGCCUCCCAAAGUGCUGGGAUUACAGGCAUGAGCCACUGCGCCCAGCUGCCAAUGCUAUUAUUACCCCCAGAUUUACAGAGAAGUCUCAGAAGGGUUUGUUAUUUCCUCAAAACCACCCAGAGCCCCAAACCUUGAUCUGUGCAGCUCCAGAGUCCCCACCCCUCCCACCUCACCAGCUCCCUACCUUCAGUGUCUAUGGUUCCUUUGAUUUAGAGCUGAUGUCUCUUCCACUCAGCCCAUAUUUAUUGAGCCCUCUCUGCUCAUAAGUGGCAUGACAUAAACAGUCAUGGACUCAACCAUCAUUUAUAUUUCAAAGUGAAAGGCUGGGUCUAAAUUACUUAAUUUGGCUGUCCAUGGAGAUCAAAUUAAACAGGUAACUGCUAGAUGUCUCUCAGGCUUUAGUUCCUGUUUGGGGGACAUAUUUGUAUUUGAAUUCUGGUGCUGCCACUUAUUAACUGAGUUUCUCAACCACUCUGAGCCUCAGUUUCCCCAUCAGGUAAAAAAGGGUUACAAAUAGUACUGUCCUAUAAAGGUUUUGAGGAGCUCGGGAAGAUUAUUUCUGGAAAGCAUUUGGCAGUGUACCUAGCAUGUGAUUUGGGCUCAACGAAUAUGAACUGCCGUUAUUAUUGUUGUUGUUAUUGCUAUUUCAAUUUUUCCUGCAUAAUAGCACUGCUGUAUAUCAGUAAACAUGUGUCCUCCUCCUCCCUUCUGGGAACUUCACUGCCUGUUCUUGGAGACACUGACAUUGGCUCUGGCCCAGCUCAGGUUCUCAGUCAAGCUUGGGUGUGAGCUGAGGCCAGGGAUGACCUGGGGCAGGCAAAUGGGAAGGCAGUUCUGCAUGUGGAUGUCAAGCUGUUUGUCCAGGACUGAAAUGGGGUAUGUGUUAGGGACAAAGAGUGCUCUGUCUUUGAAGAAGCUGUUAGCUGCUUCAGUGCUAAGGCGUUAGUCAUCUUUUGAAAAUUUUGGCUAUAUGGAACAAAGGCAAACUCCCACCCUCAGAAGUAGAAAAACCUCACUGUUAGCAUGACAGAGGGCACCAGCAAAGCUUUUCCACCCAUCCCGCAACUGUGCAUCUGCCUCAUUAAUUAUAAGCUCCUGAGAAAAAGGACUGUUCCAUUUUUAAAUCCCCAGCACCAGGCUGAGUGUCUGGCAGAGAGGACUUGCCUGAUAAACAAGUUGAGGAAUAAACAACAGAAUGAAUGGUACAGACUAAGUGAUCAGUAAAUUUUAGUAGCUAUUAUGAUGACAGUAACCUCAGUGAUUAGCAUUUUGUUGUGAUUUCUUGAGUGAGAGAGUUAAGCGGAUGACGAAGUAGAAUUACAACUGGCUCAUAUGCAUCUGUGUGGAAGAGUUUUCUGCAGGAAAACUGCAUCUAGUGAGUGUGUUAAGAUGGGUAAAAAAAUGGAGAAAUCUCAAUGUUCUCUGAUAUGUUGAUAAAUUAUACUAUGGUAUAUCUGUAUCUAUAAUUAAUAAACUUUAUUUUUUAGAGCAGUUUUAGUUUCAUAGCAUGAUUGAAUGGAAAGCACAGGGAGCUCCCAUAUACUUCUUGCUGCUACACACGCACAGCCUUAUUCCCCACUAUCAGCAUCCUCCACCAACGUGGUCCAUUUGCUACAAUCGAUGAACCUCCAUUGACACAUCAUUAUCACCCAGAGUCUAUAGUUUACAUCAGAGUACCCUCUUGGUGUUAUACAUUCUAUGGAUUUGGACAAAUGUAUAAUGACAGUUAUCCACCAUUGUAGUGUCACACAGAGUAGUUCCAUUGCCCUAAAAAUCCUCUGUGCUCUGCCUAUUCAUCCCUCUGUCCCCUCACCCUCUGGCAACCACUUAUCUUUGUACUUUCUCCAUAGUUUUGCCUUUUCCAGAAUGUCAUACAGUUGGAGCCAUGCAGUGUGUGACCUUUUCACAUUGGCUUCUUUCACUUAGUAAUAUGCAUUUACAUUUCCUCCAUGUCUUUUCAUAGCGUGGUACCUCAUACCUUCCGAGCACUGAAUAGCAUUCCAUUGUCUGGACGUAUCAUAAUUUAUGUAUUCAUUCACGUACUGAAGGAUAUUCUGGUUGCUUCCAAGUUUUAGCAAUUACAAAUAAAGCUGUUGUAACAUCCAAGUGCAGGUUUUUAUGUAGAGAUAAGUUUUCAAUUCAUUUGGGUAAAUACUGUGAUAUGUUCUUUUUUUUUUUUGAGAUGGAGUCUGGCUCUGUCACCCAGGCUGGAGUGCACUGGCGCAAUCUCGGCUCACUGCAAGCUCCACCUCCCAGGUUUAUGCCAUUCUCCUGCCUCAGCCUCCCAAGUAGCUGGGACUACAGGCGCCCGCCACUAUGCCUGGCUAAAUUUUUGUAUUUUUAGUAGAGACGGGGUUUCACUGUGUUAGCCAGGAUGGUCUCGAUCUCCUGACCUCGUGAUCCACCCGCCUCGGCCUCCCAAAGUGCUGGGAUUACAGGCGUGAGCCACCGCACCUGGCCUGUGAUAUGUUCUUAAAUGACUUACAAUUAAUUUAAUGUUAGACUUUCUUUCAUUUUUUUUUUCUUUUGAGAUGGAGUUUCACUCUUGUUGCCCAGGCUGGAGUGCAAUGGUACAAUCUCAGCUCACUGCCACCUCCGCCUCCAGGGUUCAAGCAAUUUUCCUGCCUCAGCCUCCCGAGUAGCUGGGAUUACAGGCAUGUACCACCACACCCGGCUAAUUUUGUAUUUCUAGUAGAGACAGGGUUUCUCCAUGUUGGUCACGCCGGUCUCGAACUCCUGACCUCAGGUGAUCCACCCGCCUCGGCCUCCCAAAGUGCUGGGAUUACAGGUGUGAGCCACCACGCCUGGUCAAUGUUCGACUUCCUUCUAAGAUUACUGGUAAAAUUGUCAUCUGUUUUUUUGCCUGCCUAGCCUCCAUCUCUCCUGAUACCAAUAACCUGGCUUUUCCUGUAGAGGAGUGUGGGAAGGUUCGACUCAUUAGCCCUAGUGAUGGCAUCUGACACAUUCUGGCCAACAGCAUAGCAUCCCCUGGGACAGUGAUGGGCAGAUGACCUAAGCUGGGCCAAACAGAACCAAUAAGCACCUGCCUUGGUGUUUGGCUGAAAUCUUUGAGAAAGAAGCAUUGUUUUCCUGUUGGCUGGCUAAACCAAUAGAAUGUUAGCUGCUUGGCAUAUUUGACAAUGCUUUGGGAGGAUCUGCUUGAGAAUAAGGCCAGUAGGAUGAGGAAGCAGAAUAAGAGAUGUAAUGAGAAAGACGGAUUUCCAGCAACAUAUUUUUGAACCCCUGAAUCCAGCUGUACCUGAAGCUAGUGCCACUAGUGUUUUAAAACAAGCCAGUCUGAGUUGAGUUUCAUCUCUCUUACAAAUAAAAUAAUCUUGGGGGUGGAGUGGGGGAGGCUGGGAUGAGAGCAUGAGAAGGUGGAGCUAAGGUGGGAGACCGUCUACCCCCGACCCUGUGUGGUGCACUGACCUUGACUCUCUGCCCCUGCUGGUGGGGGAGAGAUUCUCCAACAUGGCCCCCUUGUUCUGGGGUGAGGAGGUGGUGAAGGAGUUCCCUGAAUCAGAGGUGUUGCCACUGUUGAGCUCCCGGCUCUUGCUCAAGCCCCCACUGGGGCUCCCCUUCUCCUGGCCCCGAGACCUGGCUGAGCUGGUUUGCGUGGAGGGUGGCGAGGACGUGUCAUUUCCUGAGUCGUACUCCUGGGAACGUCCUCGCGAGGUGGUGAGCGGGCUGGCUGUUUUGGUAAAGAGGUCAGCAGCAGACCCCGACCCAGUGAUCUGAAAGCAAAAAGACCCGUUGGACACUGCUGAGCGCUGGGCCCAUGGGCUGUUUCUAAAUAACCAAGAAAUGUUUACCGUCAUGAUGCACUGUAACGAAAGGAAAGAGA